RNAcentral lists this long non-coding RNA (1550 nucleotides) under Populus trichocarpa (black cottonwood). RNAcentral's name for it is "long non-coding RNA (PTRI_LNC004320)". The record is from RNAcentral. Lineage: Eukaryota; Viridiplantae; Streptophyta; Magnoliopsida; Malpighiales; Salicaceae.
ACCAGUAGAGAUUACUUUGUGAACUUGUGAGGGAGAGAUGAGACCUUGAGAGAGGAGUGGGCAGCUGCAUAGAGGAGAGGAAAAAGAGAGCUGGAAAACGUGAGAGGAAGAAGAAGGAGGAGAACCAGCAGCUGAAUAGUGUCAAACCUUCCUCAAACUUAGUUAAAUUCAGAAGGUGGUGCGGUCGGGAUUGGACCAUCAUCAAGACAGGAACGACCCACAGGUGGAGCAGGUAGGUGACUUGCACCUUUCUUUUUCAUACGUUGAAUCUUGGAAUAUUUUAACUUGAGUACUACCAUAUUGUUAGAACCGAUAUUAAAUUGUCGAACGCUUAAUUGUUGAUAAAAGAGUGAUUAGCUUCGGCUAAUGGCAUCCGAAUGGAUGGCCGGGACAAAAGACUGAUUAGCUUCGGCUAAUGGCAUCCAAACGGAUGGCCGGGACAAAGAAUGAUUAGCUUUGGCUAAUGGCGUCCGAAUGGAUGGCCGGGAUGAAGGACUGAUUAGCUUCGGCUAAUGACAUCCAAACGGAUGGCCGGGACAAAGAGUGAUUAGCUUCGGCUAAUGGCAUCUGAAUGGAUGGCCGGGACAAAGAAUGAUUAGCUUUGGCUAAUGGCGUCCGAAUGGAUGGCCGGGUUAAAAAGGGAUGAUUUCGCUGCCGAUUGUGGAUCGGCAGCGACGCAGUUCCGCUGCCGAUUCUGGAUCGGCAGCGACACAGUAUUCGCUGCCGAUUCUGGAUCGGCCGCGACCCAGUUUCGCUGCCGAUUCCUUGAUCGGCAGCGAUGUAGUUUCGGCUGCCGAUUUUAGGAUUGGCAGCGACGCAGCUAUCGCUAUGCUAUCGCUAUGGAAUCCGGGACAAAUAAACGACUAGUUUUGGCGAAUGGCAUUUGAAAACUUGUGUAUCUAUAUGUACUACUAAUUGUUACAUCAAAUACAUGAAGAAAUUAUAAAUGUUAAUGCUUAUUUAAUUGCUAGGCCGUUAGUUACCAUUAUUAUUAUUAUUAAGUAUUUGUUUUCUCUUAAAUGUUUUGUACUGCUGCAGGGACGUCACACCAACGAGAUGUCUAGGAUACCCGAUACACGGGAACCUACUUUUGCAAGGAAUUAAGUAGAUGCAUUCUAAAUCACAAUGUAUUUUGUAGGGAUCAAUGUACUGAAUGUAUAACUUUUAUUAGAUCCUUUUUGUUUAAAAAUUGUGAUGGCUAUUAGAAGUAUAAGAGUGCAAACUCAUGUCCAUGUAUAUAUAUUUUUAAUAUGAACUUCAAAUCAUGCAACCUUAAUAUUAUGUGUUUGUGUAAGAUUCGCUUUUGAAUGAACUGUUGAUUGUUUGGAUUGUAUUUUGAUGAUGUGAGGAUUCAAGUUCUUUGAUUACCGGCACCAUGUGUAUUAAAUAUAUAUAUAUAUAUAAAAAAAAAAUUUACUAUUGUUUUGGGCUUAGAAAGCCGGGUUGUUACAGUUGGUAUCAGAGCACUUGGUAUGGAUCCUGAGGAUCAUUAAUAAAUGUGUUGUUGCGAUGAAUUUCAGGAUGGUACGCACCCGACAAGGGACAUGAAC